UUCCUGGUGGUCCAGGGGUUAAGACUCUGCACUUCCAAUGCAGAGAGCGUAGGUUUGAUCCCUAGUCAGGAAA
Dama dama (fallow deer) is the source of this 73-nucleotide non-coding RNA. Lineage: Eukaryota; Metazoa; Chordata; Mammalia; Artiodactyla; Cervidae. The record is from the annotation of a RefSeq genome assembly.